AUUAAGUGUACUAGAAGUACAUUGGUAAUAAAUAUAUGCUUUAUUACAUUUUUAAGAAAUAUGCUAAACUUAAGAAUAUUUUUAAUGUAUUUAUAUUAAGUGUACUAAAAGUAUGCUGGUAAUAAAUAUAUGCAUAAUUACACUUUUAAGAAAUAUGCUAAACACAAAUGUACUUCUAGUGAAGUUUUAGUAUAUUUGGAUAAAACAUACUUUUUUCAAAACAUGAUUCAUUAAUUGUAAUAAGCUAACAUUGAACUUUCCUCAAGCCUUUCAACAUUAUAUCAUUCCGAUUGCACAAUAAGCUAUUUUUUCAAAGAUUUGCUUAAAAUCUUACUUGUUUAAUUUCAAAAUCUUACUUGUUUAAUUUCAAACAACACACGUGACACACGUGACUAAACCUGAUUGGUUGUUGUCAUAGUAACACGUCACGGUGCUAUUUGAAACUUGUUCAGUUUAGUUCAGUUGUUCACGGUGCCUGCGGUUGCUUGCAUUAAACGUAUAAACUGUUAAAUUAGAUGGCGACUCUGCAUUAAACGUAUUUAUUUAAUUAAUCGGCGAUCAUAUUUCACCAGAGGACUAAGAUAAAACAACUCGAUUUAAAAUAUGAGCAGUUUUAGUGGAUCUGACGUCGAGGGAAAAAGUAUUUCGCUUUUUGUUUGGAGAUGAACGAGAAAACACGAGGCACAGGGACAUAAAUAUGACCAACCAGAUCCCAAGUAGACAGGAACAAAUGAAGAUAUAGCGCAUAGAAAGACUUAUUCUUGGUGAUCAACUGCUAUUGACAUUUUUGAAUCGGGGCAAAUGUGGAGUGAAGAAAAACGUUUGCAACACAUCCAUUCCAGAGUGCUGUGACAGAUAAAACUGACACGCUUGAUGAGGACACAGUCAAGCUUUAAAAGCCCGUGUGAUAAAGCAGUCUUCAAUUACUACGGUGUCUGAAUUGCAAGAAGAAGUCACCCUCCACUUAAACAUGUGACAUCUAAACUGUUUUGUGUUUUAGUUCAGCUUUUUAUAGGUUUAUCUUAAGUUGGUUAAAGGCAGAGUGCACUAUUUUUGAAAGCCAAUGUUAACAUUUGAAAUUACCUAAACAAACAUGCCUCUACCCCAAUAGAAUCUGGACCUUCUUUUGAUAGAGCCACCACACACAUACGCAACCCCGGCAAGGAUGUCAGUUAGUAGACACGCCCCUUACUGCUGGUUGGCUACAAGUGUGUUUUGGUAGUCGGCCCAAUUUCCUUUUCCAAAGCGUUUUUCAAACAUUGUGCACUCCGUCUUUAAAUUGCACUUAAACAUUUUUUUUCAUUAACUUUUUAUGCAGAGAAUUACAUUAUGAUUAUUAUAUAAUCAUUGCUUAUGAAUAUUUAGUGAU
Paramisgurnus dabryanus is the source of this 1369-nucleotide long non-coding RNA. RefSeq lists it as uncharacterized. NCBI's taxonomy places the organism in Eukaryota, Metazoa, Chordata, Actinopteri, Cypriniformes, Cobitidae. The record is from RefSeq and is a predicted model, not a curated record.